CGAAGCCCCAAAACUAAUUAGAACCCCUUCCUUUAGCACCAAAUGUUGCUUCUAAUCUCUGCACUUGAGGUCGGACCAUCGAAGAGAGUGGUCGAGGUGUCGUUACUGUUGGAGCUCCAUCCGAGAACCUACUUUGGUCUGGUGAAGAUCUCCCGGUGCUCAAGUUAGGAGAUGAAGAACAAUGAGAAGGAGAGAGUGAGAGUAGAGAACUUACUUUGAGAGUCUCUAUGCUCUUAUAUUUAUAGGGGAGAAGUUGGAGUCGUACAUGUUUUAGAGUCCCAAUUGUCUUUCGAAUUUGGCAUGUAGAUUGAUUCGGAGAGAUUGUUUUCUUUUAUGGGAGACUCGAUCAUGAAAGAACUCUUCCUUAUCCAGACUUUCUCAAUUUAGCAGAGAGACAAAUUCUGUUAAUGGAGAUUUUUUGAUUGUAGCUCGAUCCUGGCCGACCUGACAUGACUCAUCCAAAGCCGACAUGAGCUUCUCGGUGCAAGCCGAGGAUCAAGGUCCUAGCAUUUACUAUCAGUACAAUAUGGCAUAUCCGGCAAUCUUUGGAUUUAUCUUCUAUAGCUCGAUCAGUACCGAGGAUGCAUUUGAUCGAGGCCAAGGUGGAGAUCCACAACAAGUACCAACCUCUUCGUAUUGCAACUUUGAAGAACUUCCAAUCCUUGCAACAUAUGCCAUGGGUAGCUUCCUAUAGAUUCCUUUCGG
This 705-nucleotide long non-coding RNA is filed under the name Elaeis guineensis (African oil palm). RNAcentral describes it as "long non-coding RNA (EGUI_LNC050711)". The record is from RNAcentral. Lineage: Eukaryota; Viridiplantae; Streptophyta; Magnoliopsida; Arecales; Arecaceae.